This 308-nucleotide long non-coding RNA is filed under the name Hordeum vulgare. RNAcentral describes it as "long non-coding RNA (HVUL_LNC009188)". The record is from RNAcentral. Lineage: Eukaryota; Viridiplantae; Streptophyta; Magnoliopsida; Poales; Poaceae.
UACAUUCAUUGUCCGUUCAUCUUCAUUACACAAGACCGAAAAGACCAAAUUAAUACAAAUUCACACAUAUGGUUCAUACACACUUAUUCUCAUAAAACAACAUAGAAGAGUUUCUACCUAAAGAAUCUAAAUGCAAAAAACAAAUGCAACCAAGAUUGCAACUAAGGUAACAAUUGAUCCAACAACAUAUUGAUACCAAGCCUCUUUAUUAAGGACAUAUUUUCUAAUCCUUCUAAUCUUCAAGCGCAUUGCAUCCAUCUUGAUCUUGUGAUCAUCGACGACAUCGGCAACGUAUAACUCCAAUAUCA